RNAcentral lists this non-coding RNA (24 nucleotides) under Arabidopsis thaliana (thale cress). Lineage: Eukaryota; Viridiplantae; Streptophyta; Magnoliopsida; Brassicales; Brassicaceae. The record is from RNAcentral.
AUGCUGUUUUUAUAGGGGUUAAAA